UCCUACGGGAGGCAGCAGUGGGGAAUUUUGGACAAUGGGCGAAAGCCUGAUCCAGCCAUGCCGCGUGAGUGAAGAAGGCCUUCGGGUUGUAAAGCUCUUUUAGUCGGAAAGAAAAAGUCACUGGUUAAUAGCCAUGAUUUAUGACGGUACCGACAG
Molecule: ribosomal RNA, 156 nt
Filed under: uncultured bacterium
Lineage: Bacteria
Description: partial 16S ribosomal RNA
Rfam family: Bacterial small subunit ribosomal RNA
Source: RNAcentral